GAUGAAGAACGUAGCGAAAUGCGAUAAGUAAUGUGAAUUGCAGAAUUCAGUGAAUCAUCGAAUCUUUGAACGCACAUUGCGCCCGCUGGAAUUCCAGCGGGCAUGCCUGUUCGAGCGUCAUUUCACCCCUCAAGCCUUGCUUGGUGUUGGAGCACUACCGUUUGUAUAAAGCGGUAGGCUCUGAAAUUCAGUGGCGGGCUCGCUAAGACUCUGAGCGUAGUAGUUUAUCACCUCGCUUUGGAAGGAUUAGCGGUGCUCUUGCCGUAAAACCCCCCAACUUCUGAAUUUUGACCUCGGAUCAGGUAGGAAUACCCGCUGAACUUAAGCAUAUCAAUAAGCGGAGGA
RNAcentral lists this unclassified non-coding RNA (345 nucleotides) under soil metagenome. Its description in RNAcentral is "partial contains 5.8S ribosomal RNA, internal transcribed spacer 2, and large subunit ribosomal RNA". The stretch from base 1 to 120 matches the Rfam family "5.8S ribosomal RNA", at positions 35 to 154 of the family's 154-position model. The record is from RNAcentral.